AUGUCAGCCACUAGCGUGGUUUAGAGACCUAACAAGCAGAGAAAUAAAGUUUCAGUACAGAAUGGUUGGAUUCAUCAAAAAGAUGCUGUAAAUGAUGAUUUGGAGCCACACAAGUAGCCAGACAAAUCAGAGUGACAGCCCUCCAUCCAUGGUCAGAGCCAUGCAUGCCUGUCACUAUGCCCCAUCCUCUGAAUUUCCAUAUUCCCCUG
Molecule: long non-coding RNA, 209 nt
Filed under: Homo sapiens (human)
Lineage: Eukaryota; Metazoa; Chordata; Mammalia; Primates; Hominidae
Description: non-protein coding lnc-ROPN1B-12:1
Source: RNAcentral